CUGGUCUGAGAGGAUGAUCAGUCACACUGGAACUGAGACACGGUCCAGACUCCUACGGGAGGCAGCAGUGGGGAAUAUUGGACAAUGGGCGCAAGCCUGAUCCAGCCAUGCCGCGUGGGUGAAGAAGGCCUUCGGGUUGUAAAGCCCUUUUGUCCGGAAAGAAAAGCUUCGGGCUGAUACCCCGGGGUCCUGACGGUACCGGAAGAAUAAGCACCGGCUAACUUCGUGCCAGCAGCCGCGGUAAUACGAAGGGUGCAAGCGUUACUCGGAAUUACUGGGCGUAAAGCGUGCGUAGGUGGUUUGUUAAGUCUGAUGUGAAAGCCCUGGGCUCAACCUGGGAAUUGCAUUGGAUACUGGCAGGCUAGAGUGCGGUAGAGGAUGGCGGAAUUCCCGGUGUAGCAGUGAAAUGCGUAGAGAUCGGGAGGAACAUCUGUGGCGAAGGCGGCCAUCUGGACCAGCACUGACACUGAGGCACGAAAGCGUGGGGAGCAAACAGGAUUAGGUACCCUGGUAGUCCACGCCGUAAACGAUGUCGACUAGCCGUUGGGGUCCUUGAGACUUUAGUGGCGCAGCUAACGCAUUAAGUCGACCGCCUGGGGAGUACGGCCGCAAGGUUAAAACUCAAAUGAAUUGACGGGGGCCCGCACAAGCGGUGGAGCACGUGGUUUAAUUCGAAGCAACGCGAAGAACCUUACCUGGCCUUGACAUGCUGAGAACUUUCCAGAGAUGGAUUGGUGCCUUCGGGAACUCAGACACAGGUGCUGCAUGGCUGUCGUCAGCUCGUGUCGUGAGAUGUUGGGUUAAGUCCCGUAACGAGCGCAACCCUUGUCCUUAGUUACCAGCACGUUAUGGUGGGCACUCUAAGGAGACUGCCGGUGACAAAUCGGAGGAAGGUGGGGAUGACGUCAAGUCAUCAUGGMCCUUACGGCCAGGGCUACACACGUGCUACAAUGGUCGGUACAAAGGGUUGCCAAGCCGCGAGGUGGAGCUAAUCCCAUAAAACCGAUCGUAGUCCGGAUCGCAGUCUGCAACUCGACUGCGUGAAGUCGGAAUCGCUAGUAAUCGUGAAUCAGAAUGUCACGGUGAAUACGUUCCCGGGCCUUGUACACACCGCCCGUCACACCAUGGGAGUGGGUUGCACCAGAAGUAGCUAGUCUAACCUUCGGGGGGACGGUUACCACGGAGUGAUU
Molecule: ribosomal RNA, 1190 nt
Filed under: uncultured Pseudomonas sp.
Lineage: Bacteria; Pseudomonadati; Pseudomonadota; Gammaproteobacteria; Pseudomonadales; Pseudomonadaceae
Description: bacterial SSU rRNA
Rfam family: Bacterial small subunit ribosomal RNA
Source: RNAcentral